UACGUAGGGUGCGAGCGUUUGUCCGGAAUUAUUGGGCGUAAAGAGCUUGUAGGCGGUUUGUCGCGUCUGCCGUGAAAAUUCGAGGCUCAACCUCGAACUUGCGGUGGGUACGGGCAGACUAGAGUGUGGUAGGGGAGACUGGAAUUCCUGGUGUAGCGGUGAAAUGCGCAGAUAUCAGGAGGAACACCGAUGGCGAAGGCAGGUCUCUGGGCCACUGACUGACGUGAGAAGCGAAAGCAUGGGGAGCGAACAGG
RNAcentral lists this ribosomal RNA (254 nucleotides) under uncultured bacterium. RNAcentral describes it as "partial 16S ribosomal RNA". It matches the Rfam family "Bacterial small subunit ribosomal RNA", at positions 524 to 776 of the family's 1533-position model. The record is from RNAcentral.